RNAcentral lists this ribosomal RNA (774 nucleotides) under uncultured Glomus. Its description in RNAcentral is "SSU rRNA". It matches the Rfam family "Eukaryotic small subunit ribosomal RNA", at positions 338 to 1114 of the family's 1831-position model. The record is from RNAcentral. Lineage: Eukaryota; Fungi; Glomeromycota; Glomeromycetes; Glomerales; Glomeraceae.
GGCCUACCAUGGNGGNAANNNNGUAACGGGGUGUUAGGGCACGGCACCGGAGAGGGAGCCUGAGAAACGGCUACCACAUCCGAGGAUGGCAGCAGGCGCGCAAAUUACCCAAUCCCGACACGGGGAGGUAGUGACAAUAAAUAACAAUACUGGGUUCUUUCGGAUUUCGUAAUUGGAGUGAGUACAAUCUAAAUCUCUUAACGAGGAACAAUUGGAGGGCAAGUCUGGUGCCAGCAGCCGCGGUAAUUCCAGCUCCAAUAGCGUACAUUAAAGUUGUUGCAGUUAAAAAGCUCGUAGUUGAAUUUCGGGACCAAUAUGUCGGUCGUGCCUCGGUACGCACUGGCUUAUUGGUUUCUCCCUUCUGAAGAACCAUGAUGUCAUUUAUUUGGUGUCGUGGGGAAUCAGGACUGUUACUUUGAAAAAAUUAGAGUGUUUAAAGCAGGCUCACGCUUGAAUACAUUAGCAUGGAAUAAUGAAAUAGGACGUUUGAUUCUAUUUUGUUGGUUUCUAGGAUCGACGUAAUGAUUAAUAGGGAUAGUUGGGGGCAUUAGUAUUCAAUUGUCAGAGGUGAAAUUCUUGGAUUUAUUGAAGACUAACUACUGCGAAAGCAUUUGCCAAGGAUGUUUUCAUUAAUCAAGAACGAAAGUUAGGGGAUCGAAGACGAUCAGAUACCGUCGUAGUCUUAACCAUAAACUAUGCCGACUAGGGAUCGGAUGAUGUUAAUUUUUUAAUGACUCAUUCGGCGCCUUACGGGAAACCAAAGUGUUUGGGUUC